GGAACACUAUACUACUGGAUAAUCAAAGACAAAUCUGCCCGAAGGGUUUGAGAACAUACCCAUUGCACUCCGGGUAUGCAGAGGUGGCAGCCUCCGGUGGGUUAAAACCCAACGUUCUCAACAAUAGUGA
This 130-nucleotide non-coding RNA is filed under the name synthetic construct. The record is from RNAcentral.